Molecule: unclassified non-coding RNA, 350 nt
Filed under: soil metagenome
Description: partial contains 5.8S ribosomal RNA, internal transcribed spacer 2, and large subunit ribosomal RNA
Rfam family: 5.8S ribosomal RNA (bases 1-120)
Source: RNAcentral
GAUGAAGAACGUAGCGAAAUGCGAUAAGUAAUGUGAAUUGCAGAAUUCAGUGAAUCAUCGAAUCUUUGAACGCACAUUGCGCCCGCCAGUAUUCUGGCGGGCAUGCCUGUCCGAGCGUCAUUUCAACCCUCGAGCCCCUCCGGGGGGUCGGCGUUGGGGAUCGGCCCUUUACGGGGCCGGCCCCGAAAUACAGUGGCGGUCUCGCCGCAGCCUCUCCUGCGCAGUAGUUUGCACACUCGCAUCGGGAGCGCGGCGCGUCCACAGCCGUUAAACACCCCAAACUUCUGAAAUGUUGACCUCGGAUCAGGUAGGAAUACCCGCUGAACUUAAGCAUAUCAAUAAGCGGAGGA